Long non-coding RNA from Anolis carolinensis (green anole), 736 nucleotides. RefSeq lists it as uncharacterized. Lineage: Eukaryota; Metazoa; Chordata; Lepidosauria; Squamata; Anolidae. The transcript has 4 exons. The record is from RefSeq and is a predicted model, not a curated record.
CAAUGGGGAAAAAUUAAUGCCAAUGCCAUGGUGCGAAAAUGACAGGACAUUUUGUUUUCUUAAAAACAUGACAUCUCAUUAGAAGACAGAACUGGUGCCUGGAACUCAAAUGCUACAUGAAUGAAUGUAUCCUAGCAUCUUGUACAUAUCAUGACAAAAAGGGACAGAACAAAUGCUACUAUUUCCCAUUCUGGUGCUAUGAAGCCCUGCUAUGUAUUUGCCAUCAUUCUAAUUUUGGGACUUAAUUUUACUUCAGAAACAGUAUUCUAUUCCAGAACUCCAGAGGAAUGUCUUUUUCUUGGAGGGGUCUGUAAGACUUUAUUUUGUCCCCUAGUCUACAAUAGAUCUGGAAGGUGUUCAAAACACAAACCUUGCUGCACACCAACACUGUCUGCAUAUUCAUAUCUGAAACGUCGUCACCCAAAAGUGAUACAUGGAAUACGCUGAGAGCAGUUCUAAUCAUUAGAAGAGCUCUUCUUUAGAAGAAAUGGAAAAUGGCCAAAUAUUUGUUCUGUAAUUUUCAACGUUCCUUGGAAGAUGCCAGACCUCUCAAUUAUAAGGCAUUUGGAUGAAAGGGCAGCACCUAGUACCACAUCUCUCCUUGAAGACCUGGAAGUUCUUGCUUUAUUACCAACUCUUCAUUGUGGUAUUUUCACUAGUAGAAGAAUGAGAAAUAGAUCUUGUGAUCUGCCUGAAUGAAAAUCUAAAAAAGAAAAAAAAAUUACCAGUGAACUGA